Long non-coding RNA from Rhodamnia argentea, 259 nucleotides. RefSeq lists it as uncharacterized. Lineage: Eukaryota; Viridiplantae; Streptophyta; Magnoliopsida; Myrtales; Myrtaceae. The record is from RefSeq and is a predicted model, not a curated record. The transcript is spliced from 2 exons.
AGAGAAGAGAAGAGAGAGAGAGAGAGAGAGAGAGAGAGAGAGAGGUUAGAUUAGGGUUAGUGAUGGCCGUGAUUGACGCGAUCCAUGAAUAAUUACAGUUUGUAACGAAACAGGCUUUAGCUUUUCAGGAUAACGGAUAGGGGGAUAAAUGCUAAAGGAUGAAGAUUUUAUUAAUCUUGGGAAGAAGCUCUCCAUUUUACCUUUAAGCUGUGGCUUUGGCCCGAUUGCAUGAUCUAACUCGAAUCUGAUUUGUUUGCUC